Long non-coding RNA from Nematostella vectensis (starlet sea anemone), 350 nucleotides. RefSeq lists it as uncharacterized. NCBI's taxonomy places the organism in Eukaryota, Metazoa, Cnidaria, Anthozoa, Actiniaria, Edwardsiidae. The record is from RefSeq and is a predicted model, not a curated record. The transcript has 5 exons.
UUUCCCUCGCACGUUCCUCAAUUUGACUUCGUAACUUUCUUGAACUGGAGUUGCUUUCUUUUACUUAAAAAUAGGAGAGACUCAACUGCAUUAUAUAAUACAGAAUGCCUGAGAUUAUGCAGAACGCCUGAUGAGCUCAGAAACCAAAGCUUUGGAUGCCAGGCUACAGAAGCAAAGAGUAUCUUUCAAAAGUUAAAUCAAAGCUAUAAAUCAAAGUGAACCGUCUCAAGUGACAACAACGAAAUACAUGAAAAGUUGAUUUUGAUGAAAUAGUUUUCAGGACAUGGGUCUGUUAACUGAUCAAAUGGACGUCAGUGUUUAUAGAAGUACAAGAGUCUGGAUGCACAGUG